RNAcentral lists this ribosomal RNA (433 nucleotides) under uncultured bacterium. RNAcentral's name for it is "partial 16S ribosomal RNA". It matches the Rfam family "Bacterial small subunit ribosomal RNA", at positions 29 to 507 of the family's 1533-position model. The record is from RNAcentral.
AACGAACGCUGGCGGCAUGCCUAACACAUGCAAGUCGAACGAGACCUUCGGGUCUAGUGGCGCACGGGUGCGUAACGCGUGGGAACUUGCCCUUAGGUUCGGAAUAACUCCCCGAAAGGGGUGCUAAUACCGGAUAAUGUCUUCGGACCAAAGAUUUAUCGCCUUUGGAUGGGCCCGCGUUGGAUUAGCUAGUUGGUAGGGUAAAAGCCUACCAAGGCGACGAUCCAUAGCUGGUCUGAGAGGAUGAUCAGCCACACUGGGACUGAGACACGGCCCAGACUCCUACGGGAGGCAGCAGUGGGGAAUAUUGGACGAUGGGCGAAAGCCUGAUCCAGCAAUGCCGCGUGAGUGAUGAAGGCCUUAGGGUUGUAAAGCUCUUUUACCCGGGAUGAUAAUGACAGUACCGGGAGAAUAAGCUCCGGCUAACUCCGUG